Long non-coding RNA from Apis cerana (Asiatic honeybee), 2449 nucleotides. RefSeq lists it as uncharacterized. The record is from RefSeq and is a predicted model, not a curated record. NCBI's taxonomy places the organism in Eukaryota, Metazoa, Arthropoda, Insecta, Hymenoptera, Apidae.
UAAGGUUUUUUUCCAAUGGAUUUUAUGCUACAUUAUCAAUUAUUUGAAUAAAGAAUUCUUUAUAAUUACUGUACUUUUCUAAAGCAACAAUUUAAAAUUUACAUCGAAACAUAAAAUAUACUUUGGACAAAGUCUGCAUUAAUUUAUAUAUUUUUUAUAAUACAAAGCUUUGGAUAAAUAAUUAUGAAUAAUUGAAUAAAUAAUUAAUGAGCGUGUUUCUCUUCUCUUUCUUCUAUAAAUGUCGUUCAUCUAUUGUAAAAGUUAAUACGUGUAUUUCUAAAACGAAUCUCCAAUUGAGAACUGGCAAAUAUGAAAUAUGAAGGAUAUGACAGAUAGAAACACAUCCAUCUAUAAAUAUGCACUGUCCUGUUAUUCUAAAAAAAAGAAUAUAAUUCGAAGAUGGAUUAGAAAAGUUUCUAAAUAUGCAUCUAUUUUAAUCGAUUUAUAACUAUAGGAAUUAUACUUACGUAAGUUUAAUGUGAAAAAGAACUUUCAAAUUAGCCGCCAAAUAAUGUCUAAUCAUUUUCAGUGACCUCUCGUGACGUACGAGUGAGUUAUGAUAUAAUGGAUAUGAGAAUGAGUGAAGUAAUAAUAAAAUUCAUUAAUAUAAUUUAUAAAGAAUUUCCAUUAUAUAAAAAAAUAUUCUUAAACCAUUUCACGAUAUUAUAUCUCUCCAACAUUUACUAAAUACAAAAGUGCUACUGUUGUAAUUUGAAGUGAAACGUAUAUCGCAUAAAAAAUAUAAUUUAAACAUUGAAUUGCUACGUCAAUCGGAACUGUAUCAUACAUACUGAUUCAGAUAAUGGAAACACUUAUAUUUAUCCAUUUAUAACUAUAUUAAAAUUAUAAACUAUAAAACUAAUAUUAAAAUACAUCUAAAACUAUUUAUUAAAGAGCAAUGAGAUUUUUAGUGCCUUCUACUAACUGUAUAAGUAAAUCGUGAUAUGAUGGAUAAGAGUGCUCGUGCUGAAAUAUUAGUAAAAUUUUAAUAUAAUUUAAUAUAAUUUGUAAAGAAUUCCAUUAUUUGUAUAUCUUUGGAUGUCUUAUGAUACUAUAUCUUUCCAAUAUUUAUUAAAUCCAAUAUUUAUAUUACUGCUGUAAUUUGAAAUUAUAAUCUAUUAUAUAAAAUAUAUAAUUUAUACAUUGAAUAAUUGUUAUGUCGAUAGUACUAUAUUGAAUUUCCAAAAGAUAGUGGGAAUGGCAGUUAUGCAAUAUGACAAUACUGGUUUGUAUAAUGAACUAGGAAUAGAAUUCAAAGAUGGUCUGUAUCUGCAUAGAAUUCUCUUCAGUUCUUUUCAUCCUUCACAAUGGAUGGAAAAAUACAACGACUUGUUUUCAAAGGUAUAAUUUUAUAAAAAAAAAUACAAACUGUUUUGACAUAUAAUUAUAAAACAAUUUUGAUUUUAUUACAUACUAUAACACUAUUAAUAUUAAAAAUAAAUUUUAUUAGGUAUUUUUCUAAUUUUAAUAAUAUUUAAUCUCUUUUCUAAAAAUGACAAAUUUUACUUAAGAAAUUUGAAGAAUUAUAAAUAAUAAUUAACCGUUAUGAAUAAUGUGAUGACAUAUGAUGAUAUAUGAUGAUGCAUAAUGAAUAUAACAUUAUGAAUAAUGUUGAACGUUGAGAAUAAGUUUAAUAUCAAAUAUUUUCUUAAUUUUAACAAUGUUAAAUUUCUCUUUUAAAAAUAAAAAUAAAAAUAAAAAUUUUACUAUAUUGGAAAGAGAAAAAAAGCAUGCAAACGGUUAUUAAAAAGUGAAGUUUUUGGAAGAAAGAUAGAGGAAAGAGCGAAAAAGUAAUUUUUGCUAAUUUGGGGACAAUAAACUUCUAACAAAGAUGGCGAACGUAUCGAGUAUCUAUAAAUAACUUGUAUUGUUGAAAAUAAUUUUCAUUUUAUUUUUUUUUUCAAAAAUUCAAUAUUUUAAUGUCUAAUUAAUUUAAUCUUCAACGUAUUUCCUUCUUUAUAUCCAAGAGUUACGAUUUAAUAAUUAAACUUUUAUUUAAUUUAAUGAAGCUUUUUUUAACUAAAAUAAAAUCUAAUCGUGAAAUCAUAAACUCUUGAUGCAAUGACGAAGUUACACAGUUACACAGUGAGAAAUUAGAGAAAUAAAUUUUUAACUAAGAGCAUACAUUAAUGAUUAUAUAUGAAUUUUUUAAAAUUCAUUUUUUAUUUAAAACAAAAUAAUACUUUAUUAUAAGAUAAUACUUAAUUAUAAAUUUUUUAAAUCUCAGAUCUUUUUUCUGCCAUCUUAUGUAUAUGUAAAUACGAAUCAACUAAGUGGAAAAUGUAAAUUUGAGAUAGAGGAAGACUACAAAUAUGACGAAAGAAGUUGAAAAAUGAAACAGAUGGCAUAUGGAUGCGCAUGGAUGUACAGUAUACGAGUACUUGAAAUGGAAAAAGAGGACGAGUAUGGACUAAAAAAUUAAUAAAGUGGAAGGAAAUUCAAAGAAAGA